CUUAAAUGAAUUGACGGGUCCCGCACAAGCGGCGGAGCGUGUGGUUUAAUUCGAUGCUACACGAAGAACCUUACCUGGGUUUGACAUAGAGGUAGUAGGGAAGCGAAAGCGGACGACCUUCGGGAGCCUCUACAGGUGUUGCAUGGCUGUCGUCAGCUCGUGUCGUGAGAUGUUCGGUUAAGUCCGCUAACGAGCGCAACCCUCGCUGUGUGUUACAAGUGUCACACGGUACUGCCGAUAUUAAGUCGGAGGAAGGUGGGGAUGACGUCAAGUCAGCAUGACCUUUAUAUCCAGGGCUACACACACGCUACAAUGGCCAGUACAAUGGGUUGCCAAGCCGCGAGGCGGAGCCAAUCCUAAAAAGCUGGCCUCAGUUCAGAUUGCAGUCUGCAACUCGACUGCAUGAAGUUGGAGUUGCUAGUAACCGCAGGUCAGCAAUACUGCGGUGAAUACGUUCCCGGGGAUU
RNAcentral lists this ribosomal RNA (466 nucleotides) under uncultured Anaerolineaceae bacterium. RNAcentral describes it as "bacterial SSU rRNA". It matches the Rfam family "Bacterial small subunit ribosomal RNA", at positions 900 to 1382 of the family's 1533-position model. The record is from RNAcentral. Lineage: Bacteria; Bacillati; Chloroflexota; Anaerolineae; Anaerolineales; Anaerolineaceae.